Molecule: long non-coding RNA, 1916 nt
Filed under: Equus asinus (donkey)
Lineage: Eukaryota; Metazoa; Chordata; Mammalia; Perissodactyla; Equidae
Description: lncRNA (ENSEASG00005034117.1)
Source: RNAcentral
GGGAACCGCGCCCCGGGGGCCCCGCGCUCCCCCGGCUCCUGCGCGCCCCUGGGCCGCCUCCCUGAGCGCGGAGCCGGCCGGCCGGGCCAGCACGGAGCAGGGGCGCCGAGGGAGCCCCGCAGACCGCCCCCCCCCCCGGGGCCUGCGACCCUUCUGGAAAGACCCCGCGAAACCCAAGGCCCCGGGUGGGCCGCGCGCCCAGCCCCGAGGCCCCCACCCCAGGCCGACCUCUCCGCUCCCGCUGCCCCCGACCCCGGGGUCGCCCAAUUCCAGGAUCUUUCGCUUGAGUUUAAACUUUGGCUUUUUUAAUAGCCUCUGAAUGUGAUGCCCGAAGGAGGAUCUGAGGCUGCUCGGUUCUGCCAAGAGGAGCGGUAAACCCAACUCCGCGCGGAAAGAAGUGGGCAAAGACGGGAAUGAGCGCGGGGAGAGCAAGAAGUGCAGAACAGGGUGUUCAGGGCGCAGCUGGGAACCCGCGGGGGCGGGUUCGCGACAGAGUGUUUAGCAAUUCAGAAGGUUACUCUGGGACUUCUUGCCUUCUAUUUCCCUUUUAUAGAAUUGUUUGGAAAUUGGCCACCAUUGUAACAAAUACGUGAUGAACUCUCUAGCAGUUAUUUGAAUGAUACUUGGAGUCACUUUCUCAAGACAUGGAGCCAUGUGUAUAUGUUAAGAAAAAAGCAGGAUAUAAAUCAGAAUCUUUGCAAAAAUGAUGCAUUGAAAAUGACUGGAGGAAACAUGCCAAAAUACUCACAUGAAAUAGGUAGUGGGAUUAUGAAUGGUAACAGUUUUCUUUUUUAUACUUUUCUCUUUUUCCCCCCUGCAAUGGGCAUAUUUUACUGCUAUAAUCAGGAAAAAAAAGCAUCAUGUUGAAGAAAGGACAACCGUGCGCCGGUCUCAGCGCAGCCAGGAGGGCUCCUGACCUCUCUCGAGGUGGAGUUUUCAGGGGCAGUGACAGUGAAGCCUGUGGUCUUUGAGGAGGAUGGUGACACUCCUAGGGGGCUGCUUAUUUCAUCCCAGCUGGAGAACUGCUUGCAAAACUCCUCUCUGCUGAAACUUAGAGGGCUUGUUUUCCUUACAGAAGUCCUUGGCAGAGUGCUAAAAGGAGCAUGCCCAGUUUGGGACUUGGGUGGGUAUCCUGCUGUCCCACAAUAUCCCCAAAGCCGGUAACUGUCCCCCGACUGCAGAGCAGCUCACCAUGGAAAAGCCAAUUUUCAGGGGCUGGCAUUGCCAUUUUCCUGUUCCUUCCGACUGGAAGACUUAUGAAGUCACGGAUAGAUGACGCUGACUUCCAUCGAGAUUCUCCAUCUGAAAAGAACAGGAAGCCAGUCUCGUUGGUAGUUCUUGCGAAGGAUGUCUAUCAUCCACUGCCCUCUGUCUGGUUCCAUUUGCACCCCACGUAUCAUCAUGCAACACCUCGAUUAUUGCAUGUAACCUUGUGAGUCCCCUUCUGCAGCUUCCACCUUGGAGAAUUAUUGUGAAACUACUGAAAGCUUAAACCUCAGAGGCCCUCGCUUGCACAAGCCGUGGAAGGGGCAGCUGGCGCUGCGUUCACAGGGUCAUAUGCUUUUAUGAAAUCUGCAGAGUAAGAGAUUUCACCCACAGUGAUUAAGACCUCUGUCUCUUUCCUCUCCGACUUCUCCUUUAACAUACUUCUCUUGGCGGGUGGUGUUGGGGUGGCUCUGGCGUUUUUGAGGCAUGUCUUGACAUCAACAACAAAUUGCGAAGUUAAAAGAAACUUUUCUAAACUGUCAAUAAUAAGAAACAUUUUGAUAAAUCAUUCUAGAGGAAAGACUGAAUUCACUUUCUAUAGAGAAUAUUACAAAAGGUUGCGGUAAGUAGACGUACACAUCACACAGUCAAAGAUGUAGGUAAAAAAGUAUUAGAGUCAGGCUGUUAGCUAAUACAAAUAGUAUUUUAUU